AGACCCGAAACCCGGUGAUCUAGCCAUGGGCAGGUUGAAGGUUGGGUAACACUAACUGGAGGACCGAACCGACUAAUGUUGAAAAAUUAGCGGAUGACCUGUGGCUGGGGGUGAAAGGCCAAUCAAACCGGGAGAUAGCUGGUUCUCCCCGAAAGCUAUUUAGGUAGCGCCUCGUGAAUUCAUCUCCGGGGGUAGAGCACUGUUUCGGCUAGGGGGCCAUCCCGGCUUACCAACCCGAUGCAAACUGCGAAUACCGGAGAAUGUUAUCACGGGAGACACACGGCGGGUGCUAACGUCCGUCGUGAAGAGGGAAACAACCCAGACCGCCAGCUAAGGUCCCAAAGUCAUGGUUAAGUGGGAAACGAUGUGGGAAGGCCCAGACAGCCAGGAUGUUGGCUUAGAAGCAGCCAUCAUUUAAAGAAAGCGUAAUAGCUCACUGGUCGAGUCGGCCUGCGCGGAAGAUGUAACGGGGCUAAACCAUGCACCGAAGCUGCGGCAGCGAACGUAUCACCCAAGACAACUUUACGGAGUUGACGAUUGACGGAGCGAAGCGACGUCAAAGCGUUCAUUAAAGUCGAGUUGGCUUAGGGAUACGUUCGUUGGGUAGGGGAGCGUUCUGUAAGCCUGUGAAGGUGUGUCGUGAGGCAUGCUGGAGGUAUCAGA
This 663-nucleotide ribosomal RNA is filed under the name Salmonella enterica. RNAcentral's name for it is "partial 23S ribosomal RNA". It matches the Rfam family "Bacterial large subunit ribosomal RNA", at positions 711 to 1286 of the family's 2925-position model. RNAcentral also lists the same sequence under 2 other names. Lineage: Bacteria; Pseudomonadati; Pseudomonadota; Gammaproteobacteria; Enterobacterales; Enterobacteriaceae. The record is from RNAcentral.